GAUGAACGCUGGCGGCGUGCCUAAUACAUGCAAGUCGAGCGAACAGACGAGGAGCUUGCUCCUCUGACGUUAGCGGCGGACGGGUGAGUAACACGUGGAUAACCUACCUAUAUGACUGGGAUAACUUCGGGAAACCGGAUCUAAUACCGGAUAAUAUAUUGAACCGCAUGGUUCAAUGGUGAAUGACGGUUUUGCUGUCACUUAUAGAUGGAUCCGCGCCGCAUUAGCUAGUUGGUAAGGUAACGGCUUACCAAGGCGACGAUGCGUAGCCGACCUGAGAGGGUGAUCGGCCACACUGGAACUGAGACACGGUCCAGACUCCUACGGGAGGCAGCAGUAGGGAAUCUUCCGCAAUGGGCGAAAGCCUGACGGAGCAACGCCGCGUGAGUGAUGAAGGUCUUCGGAUCGUAAAACUCUGUUAUUAGGGAAGAACAAAUGUGUAAGUAACUAUGCACGUCUUGACGGUACCUAAUCAGAAAGCAACGGCUAACUACGUG
This 497-nucleotide ribosomal RNA is filed under the name uncultured bacterium. RNAcentral describes it as "partial 16S ribosomal RNA". It matches the Rfam family "Bacterial small subunit ribosomal RNA", at positions 28 to 507 of the family's 1533-position model. The record is from RNAcentral.